GAGGAGAGGAGAGGAGAGGAGAGGAGAGGAGAGGAGAGGAGAGGAGAGGAGAAUAUUAUACAUUCAAAUUUAGUGUUAAGGUCAACAAUGGAAAUUCCUGUCUUUGACUUAUUUUGUUCAGGACAUCUUUCAGAAUGAAGAUGAUGAAGGUCUAGUGGUAUGAUGACCAGAGAUGGGGAGAGUAACAGCUGGAAAGACAAAGACAAAACUCACCGUAUUCAUAUCAACUGUUCCUGUAACACCACCAUCAACUGAAGGAUUAGAAGAGGGAAAUGCCCUUGAAAAGGGGAACUGUGAAGAGACUAUUCCUGGAAAGCUGUAUCUGGGCAGUGAAAAGGAGCAAGUAGGCAUUAUCAGCUUCCAUCACCCAGUGAAGUUGUCUCCAGGCAAUGAUCAAAGGAAAUUGUGCAGCUGCCUUUUAAGUCUAUUACACAACAAGAAUUCCAGGAUUUUGAUUUCAUUUCAGAGAAUAAGCAAGCCUCCAGUGCAGAGUUCAUGGACAAAAACGUAUUUAGUAUUACAAAAUCUGUCUUGA
Molecule: long non-coding RNA, 535 nt
Filed under: Anser cygnoides (Swan goose)
Lineage: Eukaryota; Metazoa; Chordata; Aves; Anseriformes; Anatidae
Description: lncRNA (ENSACDG00005001389.1)
Source: RNAcentral